Molecule: ribosomal RNA, 315 nt
Filed under: uncultured bacterium
Lineage: Bacteria
Description: bacterial SSU rRNA
Rfam family: Bacterial small subunit ribosomal RNA
Source: RNAcentral
GAUGAACGCUAGCUACAGGCUUAACACAUGCAAGUCGAGGGGCAGCAUGGUCUUAGCUUGCUAAGGCCGAUGGCGACCGGCGCACGGGUGAGUAACACGUAUCCAACCUGCCGUCUACUCUUGGACAGCCUUCUGAAAGGAAGAUUAAUACAAGAUGGCAUCAUGAGUCCACAUGUUCACAUGAUUAAAGGUAUUCCGGUAGACGAUGGGGAUGCGUUCCAUUAGAUAGUAGGCGGGGUAACGGCCCACCUAGUCUUCGAUGGAUAGGGGUUCUGAGAGGAAGGUCCCCCACAUUGGUACUGAGACACGGACCAA